RNAcentral lists this unclassified non-coding RNA (253 nucleotides) under uncultured Planctomycetota bacterium. Its description in RNAcentral is "uncultured planctomycete contains 16S-23S intergenic spacer region". It matches the Rfam family "Bacterial small subunit ribosomal RNA", at positions 524 to 776 of the family's 1533-position model. The record is from RNAcentral. Lineage: Bacteria; Pseudomonadati; Planctomycetota.
UACAGAGGGUGCAAACGUUGUUCGGAAUCACUGGGCAUAAAGCGCACGUAGGCGGUCCUUCAAGUGCGGAGUGAAAUCCCACGGCUUACCCGUGGAAUUGCUUCGCAUACUGGAGGACUCGAGGACGGUAGGGGAGAGCGGAACUCUUGGUGGAGCGGUGAAAUGCGUAGAUAUCAAGAGGAACACCAAAGGCGAAGGCAGCUCUCUGGUCCGUUUCUGACGCUGAGGUGCGAAAGCCAGGGUAGCGAACGGG